UACAGAGGUCUCAAGCGUUGUUCGGAUUCAUUGGGCGUAAAGGGUGCGUAGGCGGCGCGGUAAGUCGGGUGUGAAAUCUCGGAGCUUAACUCCGAAACUGCAUUCGAUACUGCCGUGCUUGAGGACUGGAGAGGGGACUGGAAUUUACGGUGUAGCGGUGAAAUGCGUAGAUAUCGUAAGGAAGACCAGUGGCGAAGGCGGGUCUCUGGACAGUUCCUGACGCCGAGGCACGAAGGUCAGGGGAGCAAACGGG
This 253-nucleotide ribosomal RNA is filed under the name uncultured bacterium. RNAcentral describes it as "partial 16S ribosomal RNA". It matches the Rfam family "Bacterial small subunit ribosomal RNA", at positions 524 to 776 of the family's 1533-position model. The record is from RNAcentral.